Molecule: non-coding RNA, 101 nt
Filed under: chicken gut metagenome
Description: SAM riboswitch (S box leader)
Rfam family: SAM riboswitch aptamer (S box leader)
About the family: The SAM riboswitch is found upstream of a number of genes which code for proteins involved in methionine or cysteine biosynthesis in Gram-positive bacteria. The SAM riboswitch acts at the level of transcription termination control.
Source: RNAcentral
UCUUAUCCAGAGCGGCGGAGGGACAGGCCCUACGAUGCCCGGCAACCACGGAUUAUUCCGGAUGGUGCUAAUUCCUGCAGACAUUAGUCUGAGAGAUGAGA